CCGAUUUUCUAUUAGUAUUAGCUGCCUGCACAAACCAGAAAACCAAAAGUUUCAAUCUCUUCAUAUACCUUACAAUUAAAUUCUCAUCUUCAAUAGAGUUCCAAAUUAAUAUUUAUUUAUUUUUGCUAAAAACCAAAUUAAUAUUAAAGACCUCUAAAUGACUCCUACCGCUUCAUCUUUAAUGUAUAAGUGGAAAAUUUCAGCCAAAACCAAGAAAUGAUUAACACCUUAUUCUUGCCACAGAUCCUAACGCACGUACGGCAACAAAGGUACCAAAUUUUUGCUCAAAUCCAAAGAUACAUGUUCUUAAAUAUUCUUCAUGUCUGCAUCAUAGAGAUUAACUUCAGAUUUUUCCUUCUUGAUUUGAAUCUCCAUGGUAAGAGUCUUUAUUUUCUUCAAGAUUCUGUAUUUUCUGGAGAUCUUUACAAUUUCUAGACUGUUGAUCCAAUCUAAGUUUUUUUCCUUCUUCUGUUACGGAUAAUUCAAAACUUUCUAAACAGCUGACCGUGUUAUUAACCACUACGAUCGGAGGGACUGACAAACAACAUGUAGUCUUUUGGCUCAAGCCAACUAAUAUGUCCCUUAUGGCAUGAGGUUCGGAAAUUUAGAUUAAUGUUUUUUCCCUUUAAUCUUGAUCAGGAAAAAAGGAGUAUUUCUUGGGUUUAUUUCAGUUUUGAACUUCAGUCUUUACUUCUUGAAUUUCAUAUGAAAUAGGUAUAAAAAUAGGAGAGAAUGAUGAAAAGAUCUUCAUUGGUCACAAGAUGAGACAGAGUUUCUUUGAUAUCACUAACUCUCAAACUCAAAGAGGAUCUUAAUUUUCAAGAAACAUGUUUAGCGGCAAGUAAGGUUGACAUCUCAUUCUGGGUUUGUAAGUCUCUAACUUGCGAUCUCAUUGUCUUAAAUUAAUUACUAGAUUUGAUUUUGGUUUUAUUUGAGAUCAUGAGAUGUAAAAGUAUUUUCUUUAAUCAAUAAAAAUGUAAAACAAUUGAGCUAAGCAGAUACGAGUUGUAAAUGGAGGAAUACACAGUUUGCACACAUAUCUUGGUUUAAUUUAGGGUCCUAUGCACCAAAGAAAACCAUUUAUUUUUCUACAGGAGAUAAAAUUUUCUAGAAACAAGGUGCAACCAGAACUUACUACUCCUUGCUCACAUGUUGUGUCAGUUCUUCACUUCUUUGUUUAAGAAUGAAUAUGUUUCAGGUGAAAGCUUUGCACCACGAGGUUACUUGCAAAAAUGCUUUGCUUAAGGCCAAGUGUUCUGAACAAGAGAUUUGGUUUCUUUCCUGUAAUUUCUAAAUCAUCUUCUGAACUUAUAUAUUAACCAACAAGUUGUAGACUUCUAUAAAUCAUGUUUAGGUAUUGCUUUUACUUUUAACUUACGUCUGUAUUUCAAACUAAAGUUGGAUGUUUCUGAUAUUAUUCACACUUUUAGGAUCAUAAAGAUGAGAACCCACCCCCAUAAAAUGCACUAACAGCUGAGAACGUGGUUAAGUUUUUGGAACCAUCUGUACCAAAUAGAAGGCUUAUUCAUUAGAAGCAAACGUAGAUAUCUGUUCAUGAUCUUGCUUAAGAAUUGCUAUGACUAUUGUUACUUAUUUCAUUAAUUUGUGAUAAUCUUCCUUUGUUUUCUUGAUGGUUUUAUCUUACAGUCAUAUGAGCAUCAACUGCACACAAUGUUGACGCAGGAAAAGAGAAACCUGAAACGUUGUCUUCAAUCAAUUGUUAUAUAGAGCUGAGUAAUGUUUUUUUAUAUUGUUUUUAAUGUUGGUAGGGAUUUGGGCUGGAAUGUGUACAAUACGCUAUUUUCGAUGGUCCAACAUAUGAGUGGGUUGUCAUUAGCCGCCAGCCUAACAUUAUUGGCAAAUUAAGGUUUUGUUCAACCUCAAGAUGCAUGCACAUGGUCCUAGCUAAUAUGUGUGUUUGAUGAGAGAAGGUGAAAAGGACAUUGGGGCAGUUCACACCAGUUCAUGGGGACAAAGACGAGUGGCAUCCACUGCAAGCCACUUGGCAUGUUAUUCAAGUACUCACUCUUUGCAUCAUCUUCUUGACAGUAGCAUUGAACACAUCAUCUUCCAACAAACCCAUUGAUUCUCUAUAGCCUGAUCUUGUGGUUGCUCAUAGCCAGAGCUGAAGCCUUGCAAUCUGAUUAUGUCUUUGAUGAAUCUUCAGGGUACGUUUGUAUAUUCGUCUCUCUAUAUCUCUUGAUCAGUCGGCCACACUAAAUACUUUUUCUUUCCAGGUACUACUACAGCAGCAGGCUUAGUUACUAAUAUUAGUUAACAUUAGUGAAAGUUCAUACUAUGAGUAGGUAGAAAUUGUAAUGUUAAUGUGUUUGCAUUUGAGUCGUUUGACUGCAUGUGGACAGCUGUUUCAGGACGAAAGAAGACCCUCAGUUAUACUAUGCACCAACGAAGCCUUUGGAAGAAGGAACAUCUGAGGCAGAACAACGUAAAGAGAAGUUAAGUGUACUUUUGUGAAUGAAUGUUUUACAUAAAUGCUACGCGGUAUUGAUAUGUGACUGUUGAGAUGUUGGCGCAUACAUUCUUAGAAUGGAAGUAAGUCAUGAAACAAGAAGUGAGUAUCAAAAGGAGAUAGAAGAGCCGUAUAUGGGUAAUGUUGAGAAAGAGCAAAAGGUGGCAAACAAUUCGAAGCCUAACAGCGGUAACUAUACAUGAAAAAUCUGAAGUCAUACUGUUUCUUUUCUUUUUAUUAUGUCAUCCUUUGUUUCUGAUUAUUAAAUGAGAACUAAAAGAUUUAAAAUCUGGAAAGCAUGAAGUUCUCAGUGUUCACGGUCACGUUUUCUCAUCUGAGGUUAGUUUUUCUUCAAGAAUCAUGAAUAUUUCUUCUAUAAAAAUCUACAUCAGCUAAUGGUGUUUUUUAUUAAAAAAGUCUUGUGGGGGUGCAGAAACAGCCUGGAAGUUUGUUGGAGGGAUUUACAAAGACUCAGGUGAGUACAUUUGCCGUGAAGAUAAAUUUAAAUUGAUGUUCUCUGUUUCAAAUUUUGUGUGGUGUCUAUCACAGAUCCGUUUCUUGGAUUAAAGUAGCAUUCAUUGUGUUAAUAUAUUAUGGUUAGUCACAGAUCUAUUUCUUAGACUAUCGUUUGUUAAUGAAUACAUGUGUUUUUUUAUACGUCAAAAGGGUUACAUCGGCUAAAACAACAAAAGUGACAAGGGCAGAGAAAGAAGAAGAUUCUUGGAAUAAAUAUUCGAGUCGUAAAAUUGUUUUAUCUUGCUGGAAAUAUUUUGUUUCAUACUGAAUGCUACUUUAAAAGUUACACUGUCGACAUGUUUUCAAUGAUUUAAAAAAAAACAAAAUAUGUUUCGCUAAAGAAAAGUAUAACCACUUCAUCUCGAUAUGCAUGGUUUAAUUCUCAUUAUAUCCUAUUCAAAAUGCCCAACUCUAAUUGAUCUGAAUUUUUUUGAAAAUAUUAAACUUACAUGCAUAAAAGUUCUGUUGUAAGUACAUCUUAAGACUAAAAGAGACCAUCAAUAAAACAUAAACAAAGAACAACAAAUUAAUAGCUACUUUUCAAUUCAUGCUUUGUUGGUUCGUUAUGACAAAAUAAUCAAAUGAUAUUUUUAUACUAAAUUAAAAGGAAAAUUUUAUAAUGGCACAAUCCGCGCGUAGCGCGGACACGGACCUAGUACAAUACUAAAAGGGGAAUACCCUCAUCGUUUAGGCCCUCUACGUCGGAUGAAAUAUUUAGCCAAUGGCAUCGCAUGUUUCUUCCACGUCAGAAUCGAUUGGGCCUCUAUGUUUUUUUUUUGAUACGGAGUUAGCCCGUAAGCCCGUUACUUUACGCAAAAAGAGAGGACCUCCUCGACGAACCUUAGCUUCCUUCUCUUUUUCGCAGACAAUGAUCUGAUUCCUAAGAUCUGAUCCCUUUCUGGGUUUCGUAAUCUGGAUGUGAUUGACAUGGAUCGGAUCGAAGUCACCAAUCUCAAUCGCCAGUUCCUCUUCAGACUUGAGGAUGAGGAAAGCCUAAGGAAGAGGUAGCUGCAAAGCGUGUCAUGGAGAGAGUGAGUGGAGUGGAGAUUGUGCCGCAUUUUUCACGUAUAGAAGACAAAGAGCUUGAAUUUUAUAACUAUUUUAAUAUCAUUGCUCUUGGUCUUGAUUCCAUCGAAGCUGCUCUAUUUUUUAUUAGUGGCUCUCACCUUGGUCUGACGAGUCUGAUCAUGCUGUUAAAUCAAUUUCUCAAAUUAAGGCUGCUCUAUUUUUUGAAGCUGCUCUAGAGUUAGUAGUCGUUUGAAGAUGCUCUAUUUUUUAUUUGAUCAAAGACCAAGAAUCGCUUCUGCAGCCGAGUCUUUUGUUAACCGCAUCCAUGGUGAAGCACUCACAAGAACACAAUAACCAGACCAAGUAUUGCAAGGCUAGAGGAUCGAAAUAGAAGUUUCCGAUAUUCAUAGGAAUCAAUGGGACAAUCUCAAAUUGGUCAAUCUUAGGGUUCACUUCAAGAACACUCGCUAAACAGUGCACUCUGUCAGGAAGCUAUCAGGAAGCUACCAUUGCUCAAGGCCAAGAGGUACCUUGAGGAUGUGAUAGCUCACAAACAGGCUAUUACUUUCACCCAUUUCUGCAGAGGUGUUGGAAGGAAUGCUCUAGCUAAGAACAUGCAUUCCAAUGGUCAAGAACGUUGGCCUGCUAAAUCUGCUCAAUUUGUUCUUGAUUCUCUCAAGAACGCUGAGAUCAAUGCUGAGGUUGUAUCUACCUUUCAAACGUAACCUACGACAGUGGUGUCAUCCCAUAUACUUCUUUCUGAUUUGAAGUGCGGUUUAUGUCCUGAAACUGUGGUUACGCACCUGCUGCGUUUUUGGGAAACAAGAAACGUGAAGAAGGGGAGGGAGGGGAGUUAAUGGGGGUUUGACAUGCUCCUCCUUGAUGCAAAGGUUUGUCUCUUCUAAUUUCCUUGAUGAUAAAUUAUAGAUCUUUCAGUUCCUUCUCAUAAACUGAUGAGCGGGUUUGUCUCCUAUAUUCCCUCAAUGAUAUCUUUUGGCGUCAAGCCUAAGGUGAUCGUAGCUACCAGCAUUAAUCCAAAAUUCGUCGGAGGUAUCUAUCUUGAACUUCGUCUUUAAAACAAGUUUAACUAUCUUUGUCAAUCUCCCAGGCCGCCUCUUACUGAAUGCAACUUCUGGCACUCAUUUCUGUUUCGACAAAGACAAACGCAAGUGAGACCUUCAUCCGAUUUGGGUGUUGGUGACGUGAACUGCUUCACAAGUUCCACCAAAUAUGAAGGUGUAAGAAAAUUGAAGUUGUGACGGUCUUUGAGCUUAACACAUACGUUGUUAACUCGACCCCACAGGUUACCGAGUUUUGUGCACUGAAAAAGCUGAGUUGAUUGAAACGGGCAGUGGCUGUGCUACAUAUCCUGCUCUAAUGGGAUCUCUUCCUGCAUGUAGUGACUUAACCUCUGUUGGUGUUGUCAGAUGGUGACAAGACAAGUGCCACUGACCCGAGCACUUGACGUAAUGACCUCUCCAUGAACCCCAGGGGUCCAUCUGCAGCAGAAGCAACAAGUGAUGAACUCAAUUAUGGCAGAAUCAUUGCAUAGCAGCAACAGCUUCCAGGAGCUGGUUGCCCACUCAAGAAGGCUCGCACAGAUUGAUUUUGAGGAUAAAUACAUGCAGUGUUUCAUGCGUGACAAUCCAAAAUCACAAACUUUGACGACCCUAAUUUUAUUAACAAGAAGUCAAGAAGGUUCGAAGAUUUUAACUCCCUAUGUAAGUUGGGUGACUGGUGUGCCAGUAGUUCAUAUCUUUAACUUGCAAUAUGACAGAUAUUGAACAAGU
This is a long non-coding RNA of Brassica napus (rape), 5784 nucleotides long. RefSeq lists it as uncharacterized. NCBI's taxonomy places the organism in Eukaryota, Viridiplantae, Streptophyta, Magnoliopsida, Brassicales, Brassicaceae. The record is from RefSeq and is a predicted model, not a curated record. The transcript has 10 exons.